GUCUAGGGCCAUACCACCCUGAACGCGCCCGAUCUCGUCUGAUCUCGGAAGCUAAGCAGGGUCGGGCCUGGUUAGUACUUGGAUGGGAGAAAUGACAGAAAGCCGAGGAACAGGCU
This is a ribosomal RNA of Rhinopithecus roxellana (golden snub-nosed monkey), 116 nucleotides long. The record is from Ensembl. Lineage: Eukaryota; Metazoa; Chordata; Mammalia; Primates; Cercopithecidae.